RNAcentral lists this non-coding RNA (30 nucleotides) under Cricetulus griseus (Chinese hamster). Lineage: Eukaryota; Metazoa; Chordata; Mammalia; Rodentia; Cricetidae. The record is from RNAcentral.
UGAUAGUAGGAAAACUGAGGUGUGAAGCAC